UUUCAAUUAAGAGAACAACAAAACCUACAAAAGAAACCAUAAAAAUCAAAUCUUUAUCAGAAUCAGAAUUAGGACCAGCUCAAAGUUCAUCAUACACACUUCACAGAAUCAAAUUUCAUUACUAAGAUUCAAAAUCAAACUCAAAAUUAUCGAAAUCAACACAAAUUCUUCACCCAAACAAACAAAAAAAAAUCUUCACACAUAACUCUUAAGAUCCAAAAACCAAACGGUCAAACAAAAAAAAAUCAUCAAAAUCAUCAAAUCAAAACUCGCCGACAACAAAAUAAAACCCUAAAUCAAAAACAAACACGAUAAAAACAAAGUUUCACAAAUCAAAGAUCACUAAAUCAACAGAAAUGAAAAAAAAAAUAGAAAGAGAGAGAUUGAAUCACCCACAAGAAGAAAAGCUUGAGAUGG
Arabidopsis thaliana (thale cress) is the source of this 417-nucleotide long non-coding RNA. RefSeq annotates it as other RNA. NCBI's taxonomy places the organism in Eukaryota, Viridiplantae, Streptophyta, Magnoliopsida, Brassicales, Brassicaceae. The record is from RefSeq. The transcript has a single exon.